UACGUAGGGUGCAAGCGUUGUCCGGAAUUAUUGGGCGUAAAGAGCUCGUAGGCGGUUUGUUGCGUCGGCUGUGAAAUCCCGAGGCUCAACCUCGGGUCUGCAGUCGAUACGAGCAAACUAGAGUGUUGCAGGGGAGACUGGAAUUCCUGGUGUAGCGGUGAAAUGCGCAGAUAUCAGGAGGAACACCGGUGGCGAAGGCGGCAUCCUGGACCAACACUGACGCUGAGGAGCGAAAGCCAGGGGAGCAAACGGG
RNAcentral lists this ribosomal RNA (253 nucleotides) under uncultured bacterium. RNAcentral's name for it is "partial 16S ribosomal RNA". It matches the Rfam family "Bacterial small subunit ribosomal RNA", at positions 524 to 776 of the family's 1533-position model. The record is from RNAcentral.